Molecule: ribosomal RNA, 529 nt
Filed under: Pachymerus cardo
Lineage: Eukaryota; Metazoa; Arthropoda; Insecta; Coleoptera; Chrysomelidae
Description: partial 16S ribosomal RNA
Rfam family: Bacterial large subunit ribosomal RNA
Source: RNAcentral
UCAAAAACAUGUCUUUUUGAUUUUGAUUUAAAGUCUAGCCUGCCCUCUGAGGUUUUGAAUGGCCGCGGUAUUUUGACCGUGCUAAGGUAGCAUAAUAAUUAGUUUCUUAAUUAGGAGCUGGAAUGAAAGGUUGAAUGAGAGAACGUCUGUCUCUGUAUAAUUUUUUAUAGAAUUUUAUUUUUAAGUUAAAAAGCUUAAAUUUUUUUAAUAGACGAGAAGACCCUAUAGAGUUUAAUAUAUUUUUGAGGUGAGAUUAAUUGGUAUAUUAAACUUUAUUUUUGAAAUCUAUUUAAUUGGGGUGAUUGAAAAAUUUAAAUAACUUUUUCUUUUUCUUUACAUUAAUUUAUGAAUUUUUGAUCCGUUAUUGGCGAUUAUAAGAUAAAAUUACCUUAGGGAUAACAGCGUAAUUUUUAUAGAGAGUUCUAAUCGAAAUAAGAGUUUGCGACCUCGAUGUUGGAUUAAAGUUUAUUUUUGGUGUAGAAGCUAAAAUAUUAGGUCUGUUCGACCUUUAAAACUUUACAUGAUCUGA